Molecule: ribosomal RNA, 467 nt
Filed under: uncultured bacterium
Lineage: Bacteria
Description: partial 16S ribosomal RNA
Rfam family: Bacterial small subunit ribosomal RNA
Source: RNAcentral
GACGAACGCUGGCGGCGUGCUUAACACAUGCAAGUCGAACGGAAAGGCCUCUUUCGGGGGGUACUCGAGUGGCGAACGGGUGAGUAACACGUGAGUAACCUGCCCUUGACUUUGGGAUAACUUCAGGAAACUGGGGCUAAUACCGGAUAGGAGCUCCUGCUGCAUGGUUGGGGUUGGAAAGUUUCGGCGGUUGGGGGUGGACUCUCGGCUUAUCAGCUUGUUGGUGGGGUAGUGGCUUACCAAGGCGUUGACGGGUAGCCGGACGGUGAGGGUGACCGGCCACAUUGGGACUGAGGUAAGGCACAGACUCCUACGGGAGGCAGCAGUGGGGAAUAUUGACCGAGGGGUGGAAGCCUGAUGCAGCAACGCCGUGUGCGGGAUGACGGCCUUAGGGUUGUAAACCGAAUUCGCUAAUGACGAAGCUUUGUGUGACGGUAGUGGGUAAAGAAGCACCGGCUAACUACGUG